UUUCCGUAGGUGAACCUGCGGAAGGAUCAUUACAGAGUUCAUGCCCUCACGGGUAGAUCUCCCACCCUUGAAUAUUUAUACCUUAGUUGCUUUGGCGGGCCGUGGAAACACCAUGGGCUCCGGCUUAUGCGUGCCUGCCAGAGGAAACAAACUCUGUUUUUAGUGAUGUCUGAGUACUAUAUAAUAGUUAAGACUUUCAACAACGGAUCUCUUGGUUCUGGCAUCGAUGAAGACGCAGC
RNAcentral lists this unclassified non-coding RNA (239 nucleotides) under plant metagenome. RNAcentral's name for it is "partial contains small subunit ribosomal RNA, internal transcribed spacer 1, and 5.8S ribosomal RNA". The record is from RNAcentral.